UAUGGUGGUUAUACCAAGGGUGUUCACCUCUUCCCAUCCCGAACAGAGAAGUUAAGCCCUUAUGGCCGAUGGUACUGCACAACAAUGCGGGAGAGUAGGUAGCUGCCAUAU
RNAcentral lists this ribosomal RNA (111 nucleotides) under Pseudobacter ginsenosidimutans. The record is from RNAcentral. Lineage: Bacteria; Pseudomonadati; Bacteroidota; Chitinophagia; Chitinophagales; Chitinophagaceae.